GAUGAACGCUGGCGGCGUGCUUAACACAUGCAAGUCGAACGAGAAUCAACGGAUUGAGGAUUCGUCCAAAUGAAGUUGAGGAAAGUGGCGGACGGGUGAGUAACGCGUGAGGAACCUGCCUCGGAGUGGGGAAUAACAGUUGGAAACAGCUGCUAAUACCGCAUAAUAUAUACAGGUCGCAUGAUUUGUAUAUCAAAGAUUUAUCGCUGAAAGAUGGACUCGCGUCUGAUUAGCUAGUUGGCGGGGUAACGGCCCACCAAGGCGACGAUCAGUAGCCGGACUGAGAGGUUGAACGGCCACAUUGGGACUGAGAUACGGCCCAG
RNAcentral lists this ribosomal RNA (323 nucleotides) under uncultured bacterium. Its description in RNAcentral is "bacterial SSU rRNA". It matches the Rfam family "Bacterial small subunit ribosomal RNA", at positions 28 to 334 of the family's 1533-position model. The record is from RNAcentral.